This is a non-coding RNA of Paramuricea clavata, 218 nucleotides long. NCBI's taxonomy places the organism in Eukaryota, Metazoa, Cnidaria, Anthozoa, Malacalcyonacea, Plexauridae. The record is from the annotation of a GenBank genome assembly.
GAUUGAAUUUACAGUCGUGCCAAUAGAAGCGUUCCGAAAAAUGUUGACCAGUUCAUUUCCUAACUUGAAGGAACACCUCUGAACAAUUCCUCAACAAUUUGAUAAGUUCCUUAAAAAGUUCCCAACUUCCUGUUUCAUUGACCAAUCAAAUUUUAUAUUUUAUUUUUGAGCAAUCUGAUUGGUCAAUGAAACAGGAAGUUAGGAACUUUUUAAGGAAC